GUGGAUGCAUCAAACUCUAACGUC
Molecule: non-coding RNA, 24 nt
Filed under: Arabidopsis thaliana (thale cress)
Lineage: Eukaryota; Viridiplantae; Streptophyta; Magnoliopsida; Brassicales; Brassicaceae
Source: RNAcentral